This 497-nucleotide ribosomal RNA is filed under the name uncultured bacterium. RNAcentral describes it as "partial 16S ribosomal RNA". It matches the Rfam family "Bacterial small subunit ribosomal RNA", at positions 28 to 507 of the family's 1533-position model. The record is from RNAcentral.
GAUGAACGCUGGCGGCGUGCCUAAUACAUGCAAGUCGAGCGAACAGACGAGGAGCUUGUUCCUCUGACGUUUUCGGCGGACGUGUGAGUAACACGUGGAUACUCUCCCUAUAAGACUGGGAUAACUUCGGAAAACUGGAGCUAAUACCGGAUAAUUUAUUGACCCGUAAGGUUCACUAGUGAAAGACGAUUUUGUUGUCACUUAUAGAUGGAUCCGUGCAGAAUUAGCUAGUUGGUAAGGUAACGGAUUACCAAGGCAACGUUGAGUAGCCGACGUGAGAGGGGAUGCGGCCACACGGGAACGGAGACAGGGUCCAGACUCCUAGGGAAGGCAGCGUUAGGGAUUCUUCCGCAAGGAGGGAAAGCCUGACGGGGCAACGCCGCGUAAUGGAUGAAGGUCUUCGGUUCGUAAGACUCUGUGAAUGGGAAAGAACAAUGUGGUAAUUAACAAUGCACGUCUUGACGGUACCUUAUCAGAAAGCGACGGCUAACUACGUG